GAUGAACGCUAGCUACAGGCUUAACACAUGCAAGUCGCGGGGCAGCAUUUUCUUAGCUUGCUAAGGAAGAUGGCGACCGGCGCACGGGUGAGUAACGCGUAUCCAACCUUCCCAUGUCCACGGGAUAGCCCGUCGAAAGGCGGAUUAAUACCGUAUGAGGUCACACGAUGGCAUCAGACUGUGACGAAAGGUUUAGCGGACAUGGAUGGGGAUGCGUCCGAUUAGCUUGACGGCGGGGUAACGGCCCACCGUGGCAUCGAUCGGUAGGGGUUCUGAGAGGAAGGUCCCCCCACAUUGGAACUGAGACACGGUCCAAACUCCUACGGGAGGCAGCAGUGAGGAAUAUUGGUCAAUGGGCGAGAGCCUGAACCAGCCAAGUAGCGUGCAGGACGACGGCCCUAUGGGUUGUAAACUGCUUUAUAAGGGAAUAAAGUGAGUCUCGUGAGACUUUUUGCAUGUACCUUAUGAAUAAGGACCGGCUAAUUCCGUG
Molecule: ribosomal RNA, 490 nt
Filed under: uncultured bacterium
Lineage: Bacteria
Description: bacterial SSU rRNA
Rfam family: Bacterial small subunit ribosomal RNA
Source: RNAcentral